GUUUUAACUAGUGUAAUGACCCGCGCUUCACAGCGGGAGGUCGUAACAUUGAAAGCUAAUAAUGUGACUUUCAUUAUAUUUAUUUAUCACCAAACAUACAGAUAUAUAUAACAUUCACAUUAUGUAAGAUAAAUAGAGACAAACAUACAGAUAUAUAUAACAUUCACAUUAUAACAUUCACAUUAUAUACAACAUUCCUUCACGUAGUGAAAUAAGUAGGGACAAACCUACACAUUCAUGCACCUGUUUGAUGGUGAACAGCAAUGCUAUAUAUAGAAAAAGUUGGGGGGAGGAUGCAUGCACUCUAAUGAUAAGAAAGAUAGCAAAAGGACAAGAAAAUAUUCUAUGUACUAUGGAAUUUUUUGUUUCAUGCACCUUGUGUUUGAUGUUAAACAAUAUUGGUAUAUAUAGAAAAAAUUGGGUAGGAUAAAUGCAUCGGAAUGAUAAGAAAGAAAGCAAAAGGAGAAGAAAUAUUCUAUAUAGUAUGAAAAAUUUUGUAAGAGAAAAGAUUAUCUUGUGGAUGAGAUACUAUUUCUAU
This 538-nucleotide long non-coding RNA is filed under the name Ananas comosus (pineapple). RNAcentral describes it as "long non-coding RNA (ACOM_LNC007499)". The record is from RNAcentral. Lineage: Eukaryota; Viridiplantae; Streptophyta; Magnoliopsida; Poales; Bromeliaceae.